RNAcentral lists this ribosomal RNA (86 nucleotides) under Bacteroidota bacterium. RNAcentral also lists the same sequence under 1 other name. Lineage: Bacteria; Pseudomonadati; Bacteroidota. The record is from RNAcentral.
GUCACAUCCCGAACCCGGCAGUUAAGCCUGUCAGCGCCGAUGGUACUUGGGGGGCAGCCCCCUGGGAGAGUAGGUCAUCGCCAAGA